This 253-nucleotide ribosomal RNA is filed under the name uncultured bacterium. RNAcentral's name for it is "partial 16S ribosomal RNA". It matches the Rfam family "Bacterial small subunit ribosomal RNA", at positions 524 to 776 of the family's 1533-position model. The record is from RNAcentral.
UACGUAGGGUGCGAGCGUUAAUCGGAAUUACUGGGCGUAAAGCGUGCGCAGGCGGUUCUGUAAGUCAGCUGUGAAAGCCCCGGGCUUAACCUGGGAACUGCGGUUGAAACUACAGGACUAGAAUCUGGCAGAGGGGGGUGGAAUUCCACGUGUAGCAGUGAAAUGCGUAGAGAUGUGGAGGAACACCGAUGGCGAAGGCAGCCCCCUGGGUUAACACUGACGCUCAGGCACGAAAGCGUGGGGAGCAAACAGG